AGUGAACGCUGGCGGUAGGCCUAACACAUGCAAGUCGAACGGCAGCACAGUAAGAGCUUGCUCUUACGGGUGGCGAGUGGCGGACGGGUGAGGAAUACAUCGGAAUCUACUUUUUCGUGGGGGAUUACGCAGGGAAACUUACGCUAAUACCGCAUACGUCCUACUGGUUAAAGCAGUGGAUCUUCGGACCUUGCGCGAUUGAAUGUGCCGAUGUCGGCUUAGCUCGUUGGCGGGGUAAAGGCCCACCAAGACGACGAUCCGUAGCUAGUCUGCGAGGAUGAUCAGCCAAACUGGGACGAAGACACGGUCCACACUGCUGCGGGAGGCAACGGUGGGGAAUAUUGGACAGUGGGGGCAGGCCUAGUCCAGCCAUACCGCGUGGGUGAAGAAGACCUUCGGGUUGUAAAGCCCUUUUGUUGGGAAAGAAAAGCGGCAGAUUAAUACCCCGCUGUUCUGACGGUACCCAAAGAAUAAGCACCGGCUAACUUCGUG
Molecule: ribosomal RNA, 492 nt
Filed under: uncultured bacterium
Lineage: Bacteria
Description: partial 16S ribosomal RNA
Rfam family: Bacterial small subunit ribosomal RNA
Source: RNAcentral